This 607-nucleotide ribosomal RNA is filed under the name uncultured Alphaproteobacteria bacterium. RNAcentral describes it as "bacterial SSU rRNA". It matches the Rfam family "Bacterial small subunit ribosomal RNA", at positions 45 to 673 of the family's 1533-position model. The record is from RNAcentral. Lineage: Bacteria; Pseudomonadati; Pseudomonadota; Alphaproteobacteria.
GGCCUAACACAUGCAAGUCGAGCGAGAAGCCAUCUUCGGAUGGUGGGCAGCGGCGGACGGGUGAGUAUCGCGUAGGGAUCUACCCUGGAGUGGGGGACAACCACUGGAAACGGUGGCUAAUACCGCAUACGCCCAUCGAGUAUGAUGCUUGGUGGGGAAAGAUUUAUUGCUCCGGGAUGUACCUGCGUCGGAUUAGCUAGUUGGUGAGGUAACGGCUCACCAAGGCAACGAUCCGUAGCUGGUUUGAGAGGAUGAUCAGCCACACUGGGACUGAGACACGGCCCAGACUCCUACGGGAGGCAGCAGUGGGGAAUAUUGCACAAUGGGCGCAAGCCUGAUGCAGCCAUGCCGCGUGAGUGAAGAAGGCCUUAGGGUUGUAAAGCUCUUUCAACGGUGAAGAUGAUGACGGUAGCCGUAGAAGAGGCCCCGGCUAACUCCGUGCCAGCAGCCGCGGUAAUACGGAGGGGGCGAGCGUUGUUCGGAAUUACUGGGCGUAAAGGGCACGUAGGCGGCGAUGCGGGUCAGGUGUGAAAGCCCCGGGCUUAACCUGGGAACUGCACUUGAAACUGCAUUGCUUGAGGACGGAAGAGGAGAAUGGAAUUCCCAG